Molecule: long non-coding RNA, 427 nt
Filed under: Olea europaea subsp. europaea
Lineage: Eukaryota; Viridiplantae; Streptophyta; Magnoliopsida; Lamiales; Oleaceae
Source: RNAcentral
CUAUAACCUCACGUGUAAAUUCUUUCUCUAAUUUAAAUAUCGAAGGUGCAACGAGGACUAGAAAAUCAAUAAGUAUGAUUUUUGGUAGCAUCAGAGCCUAUCACUGCAAUAGAAGAAUCAUGAGUCAGUUUCUAAACUUGAGUCCGAGACAAUACAUGGGGUCAUUUUGGAUGUUAAAUCUUCAAGGAUUGAGUUACAAGAUGAAUCUCAUGGGGGAUUAUUCUAUUACUACAAAGGGAUCUCGCAUUACUUCUAAUCUCUAGGUUUUUCUUUUCUCGCUAAUUUUCUGAGAAUUGGGUAAAAGUAAAAGCUCUAGAGAAGUCCUAGAAUUUCUACGUUGAUACCAUGUUAGAAAAUAUUUUCAUUUAUAUAUUUUACACUGUACAAGACAAUUAUAUAAAAUAGUAGCCGGAUAUAUAGUAGGAAG